This 221-nucleotide long non-coding RNA is filed under the name Elaeis guineensis (African oil palm). RNAcentral's name for it is "long non-coding RNA (EGUI_LNC071218)". Lineage: Eukaryota; Viridiplantae; Streptophyta; Magnoliopsida; Arecales; Arecaceae. The record is from RNAcentral.
CUGGGGCAGUUGCUCAAGCCAAAGAACCCAGGUCUCAUCAUAAAUUCAAGUACAUCCUAAGAUAGUUCCACCUCAUUCGAAAGAUAGUCAAAAGACGCGAUGUGAUCGUGGAGUGAGUUGACAUCAAGAACAAUAUAGCGGGCCCAUUCACUAAGACCUUGUCAAUGCAGCAGUUUGAUCACCAUCUUAUAGCAUGGGUAUCAAGUAUAGGGGCGAUUGGC